GGGUUGUGAGGUUAAGCGACUAAGCGUACACGGUGGAUGCCCUGGCAGUCAGAGGCGAUGAAGGGCGUGCUAAUCUGCGAUAAGCGCCGGUAAGGUGAUAUGAACCGUUAUAACCGGCGAUACCCGAAUGGGGAAACCCAGUGUGAUUCGUCACACUAUCAUUAACUGAAUCCAUAGGUUAAUGAGGCGAACCGGGGGAACUGAAACAUCUAAGUACCCCGAGGAAAAGAAAUCAACCGAGAUUCCCCCAGUAGCGGCGAGCGAACGGGGAGGAGCCCAGAGCCUGAAUCAGCAUGUGUGUUAGUGGAAGCGUCUGGAAAGGCGCGCGAUACAGGGUGACAGCCCCGUACACAAAAGCGCAUGUGCUGUGAGCUCGAUGAGUAGGGCGGGACACGUGGUAUCCUGUCUGAAUAUGGGGGGACCAUCCUCCAAGGCUAAAUACUCCUGACUGACCGAUAGUGAACCAGUACCGUGAGGGAAAGGCGAAAAGAACCCCGGCGAGGGGAGUGAAAAAGAACCUGAAACCGUGUACGUACAAGCAGUGGGAGCACCCUUCGGGGUGUGACUGCGUACCUUUUGUAUAAUGGGUCAGCGACUUAUAUUCUGUAGCAAGGUUAACCGUAUAGGGGAGCCGGAGGGAAACCGAGUCUUAAUUGGGCGUUAAGUUGCAGGGUAUAGACCCGAAACCCGGUGAUCUAGCCAUGGGCAGGUUGAAGGUUGGGUAACACUAACUGGAGGACCGAACCGACUAAUGUUGAAAAAUUAGCGGAUGACCUGUGGCUGGGGGUGAAAGGCCAAUCAAACCGGGAGAUAGCUGGUUCUCCCCGAAAGCUAUUUAGGUAGCGCCUCGUGAAUUCAUCUCCGGGGGUAGAGCACUGUUUCGGCUAGGGGGCCAUCCCGGCUUACCAACCCGAUGCAAACUGCGAAUACCGGAGAAUGUUAUCACGGGAGACACACGGCGGGUGCUAACGUCCGUCGUGAAGAGGGAAACAACCCAGACCGCCAGCUAAGGUCCCAAAGUCAUGGUUAAGUGGGAAACGAUGUGGGAAGGCCCAGACAGCCAGGAUGUUGGCUUAGAAGCAGCCAUCAUUUAAAGAAAGCGUAAUAGCUCACUGGUCGAGUCGGCCUGCGCGGAAGAUGUAACGGGGCUAAACCAUGCACCGAAGCUGCGGCAGCGAACGUAUCACCCAAGACAACUUUACGGAGUUGACGAUUGACGGAGCGAAGCGACGUCAAAGCGUUCAUUAAAGUCGAGUUGGCUUAGGGAUACGUUCGUUGGGUAGGGGAGCGUUCUGUAAGCCUGUGAAGGUGUGUCGUGAGGCAUGCUGGAGGUAUCAGAAGUGCGAAUGCUGACAUAAGUAACGAUAAAGCGGGUGAAAAGCCCGCUCGCCGGAAGACCAAGGGUUCCUGUCCAACGUUAAUCGGGGCAGGGUGAGUCGACCCCUAAGGCGAGGCCGAAAGGCGUAGUCGAUGGGAAACGGGUUAAUAUUCCCGUACUUGGUGUUACUGCGAAGGGGGGACGGAGAAGGCUAUGUUGGCCGGGCGACGGUUGUCCCGGUUUAAGCGUGUAGGUGUGUGUUCCAGGUAAAUCCGGUUCACUUUAACACUGAGGCGUGACGACGAGGCACUACGGUGCUGAAGCAACAAAUGCCCUGCUUCCAGGAAAAGCCUCUAAGCAUCAGGUAACACGAAAUCGUACCCCAAACCGACACAGGUGGUCAGGUAGAGAAUACCAAGGCGCUUGAGAGAACUCGGGUGAAGGAACUAGGCAAAAUGGUGCCGUAACUUCGGGAGAAGGCACGCUGACACGUAGGUGAAGUGAUUUACUCAUGGAGCUGAAGUCAGUCGAAGAUACCAGCUGGCUGCAACUGUUUAUUAAAAACACAGCACUGUGCAAACACGAAAGUGGACGUAUACGGUGUGACGCCUGCCCGGUGCCGGAAGGUUAAUUGAUGGGGUCAGCGUAAGCGAAGCUCCUGAUCGAAGCCCCGGUAAACGGCGGCCGUAACUAUAACGGUCCUAAGGUAGCGAAAUUCCUUGUCGGGUAAGUUCCGACCUGCACGAAUGGCGUAAUGAUGGCCAGGCUGUCUCCACCCGAGACUCAGUGAAAUUGAACUCGCUGUGAAGAUGCAGUGUACCCGCGGCAAGACGGAAAGACCCCGUGAACCUUUACUAUAGCUUGACACUGAACAUUGAGCCUUGAUGUGUAGGAUAGGUGGGAGGCUUUGAAGUGUGGACGCCAGUCUGCAUGGAGCCGACCUUGAAAUACCACCCUUUAAUGUUUGAUGUUCUAACGUGGACCCGUAAUCCGGGUUGCGGACAGUGUCUGGUGGGUAGUUUGACUGGGGCGGUCUCCUCCUAAAGAGUAACGGAGGAGCACGAAGGUUGGCUAAUCCUGGUCGGACAUCAGGAGGUUAGUGCAAUGGCAUAAGCCAGCUUGACUGCGAGCGUGACGGCGCGAGCAGGUGCGAAAGCAGGUCAUAGUGAUCCGGUGGUUCUGAAUGGAAGGGCCAUCGCUCAACGGAUAAAAGGUACUCCGGGGAUAACAGGCUGAUACCGCCCAAGAGUUCAUAUCGACGGCGGUGUUUGGCACCUCGAUGUCGGCUCAUCACAUCCUGGGGCUGAAGUAGGUCCCAAGGGUAUGGCUGUUCGCCAUUUAAAGUGGUACGCGAGCUGGGUUUAGAACGUCGUGAGACAGUUCGGUCCCUAUCUGCCGUGGGCGCUGGAGAACUGAGGGGGGCUGCUCCUAGUACGAGAGGACCGGAGUGGACGCAUCACUGGUGUUCGGGUUGUCAUGCCAAUGGCACUGCCCGGUAGCUAAAUGCGGAAGAGAUAAGUGCUGAAAGCAUCUAAGCACGAAACUUGCCCCGAGAUGAGUUCUCCCUGAGACUUAGAGUCUCCUGAAGGAACGUUGAAAACGACGACGUUGAUAGGCCGGGUGUGUAAGCGCAGCGAUGCGUUGAGCUAACCGGUACUAAUGAACCGUGAGGCUUAACCUUACAACGCCGAAG
This 3011-nucleotide ribosomal RNA is filed under the name Salmonella enterica subsp. enterica serovar Typhimurium. Its description in RNAcentral is "23S ribosomal RNA". It matches the Rfam family "Bacterial large subunit ribosomal RNA". Lineage: Bacteria; Pseudomonadati; Pseudomonadota; Gammaproteobacteria; Enterobacterales; Enterobacteriaceae. The record is from RNAcentral.